RNAcentral lists this ribosomal RNA (267 nucleotides) under uncultured bacterium. Its description in RNAcentral is "partial 16S ribosomal RNA". It matches the Rfam family "Bacterial small subunit ribosomal RNA", at positions 89 to 354 of the family's 1533-position model. The record is from RNAcentral.
UGGCGACCGGCGCACGGGUGAGUAACGCGUAUCCAACCUGCCCUUUACUAUGGGACAGCCCGUCGAAAGGCGGAUUAAUACCGUAUGUUGUCAUGUUGAUGCAUAUUUCCAUGACCAAAGGCUUCGGCCGGUAAAGGAUGGGGAUGCGUCUGAUUAGCUUGCCGGCGGGGUAACGGCCCACCGGGGCGACGAUCAGUAGGGGUUCUGAGAGGAAGGUCCCCCACAUUGGAACUGAGACACGGUCCAAACUCCUACGGGAGGCAGCAG